UCUGUAGCUCAGUUGGUAGAGCAACGCAUUCGUAAUGCGUGGGUCGUGGGUUCAAGUCCCAUCGG
This 65-nucleotide transfer RNA is filed under the name bovine gut metagenome. It matches the Rfam family "tRNA", at positions 5 to 66 of the family's 71-position model. Rfam says of the family: Transfer RNA (tRNA) molecules are approximately 80 nucleotides in length. Their secondary structure includes four short double-helical elements and three loops (D, anti-codon, and T loops). The record is from RNAcentral.